This 260-nucleotide ribosomal RNA is filed under the name uncultured bacterium. RNAcentral describes it as "partial 16S ribosomal RNA". It matches the Rfam family "Bacterial small subunit ribosomal RNA", at positions 95 to 353 of the family's 1533-position model. The record is from RNAcentral.
CCGGCGCACGGGUGAGUAACACGUAUCCAACCUGCCGUCUACUCUUGGACAGCCUUCUGAAAGGAAGAUUAAUACAAGAUGGCAUCAUGAGUCCGCAUGUUCACAUGAUUAAAGGUAUUCCGGUAGACGAUGGGGAUGCGUUCCAUUAGAUAGUAGGCGGGGUAACGGCCCACCAAGCCUUCGAUGGAUAGGGGUUCUGAGAGGAAGGUCCCCCACAUUGGAACUGAGACACGGUCCAAACUCCUACGGGAGGCAGCAUG